Molecule: long non-coding RNA, 843 nt
Filed under: Cyanistes caeruleus (blue tit)
Lineage: Eukaryota; Metazoa; Chordata; Aves; Passeriformes; Paridae
Description: lncRNA (ENSCCEG00000006854.1)
Source: RNAcentral
CCCCUGCUGCCUUGUCGCCUGUGGCCCUGUGACAGCCAGAAACUCACCCCACCUCUCUGAAAAGAGCGGAGAUCCGGGAGAGAGAAACUCCUCUGUGGUGGGCUUUCAGCUCCCCCCACUAGCAUAUCAGCCAGCAUCAAGAUCUGCACCCUGGCAUCAGUUUUCCUGGCACAGUGCUUUUAGAAAUCACACCUGCCCCUGUGAGGUGCUCUGUGAGUGCAGUCUGAGAGAAGGAAAAGAGAACUGGAAAGCUCCACACACAUUGUGGCUUUCACAUCUCCUGUCCUGCUGCAUUCCUGUGCCUGGAAUCGUGUUUGUCCUGUGUGUGACGAGUGGAUUAUGCUGUACUUCUGUCUGGACACUGGGACAUGGUCAGGGACAUACUCUGUCCCUGGCACCCCUUCAGAAAGAUGCAAGCUGGAUUCCUCAUGUGGAUAGAGCAGAAAUAUCAGUCCUUUAAAUAGUUGCAUGAGGGAGUUUGAGUUUCUUAUAUAUAUAAACCAUUAUAUUUAGAUAUAAAACACCUCUUUUUCUAACAGAAGAAGUGUUCCAUGCAGGCUUUGUUCCCACAAAGGGGCCAGAGUUCAAUUUUGUGUAAAAAUAUCUGAUGAUUAGAUAGUGUUUGUUUGGUCUUUUUUAACUGAAAACAAAAGAAGACUGCAAGGAAAUUUAAAAAAACAAACCCAAACACUACUAUUAAGACUUAUUGCUAAUAACCCUAUGCAUAAUAAUCAGUAUUUUGUCCUCCUGAUUGUCUUUUUCUAUUAUUCAAUUUUCAAAGGGCCUGGGUCAGACUAUGCAGCCCUUAUUACCGAACAUGUAUAAUGUUGUCUUCUAAAUUCC